UACGGAGGGUGCAAGCGUUAAUCGGAAUUACUGGGCGUAAAGCGUGCGCAGGCGGUUUGUUAAGUCCGUUGUGAAAGCCCCGAGCUCAACUUGGGAAUUGCAGUGGAUACUGGCAGGCUGGAGUACGGUAGAGGAAGGUGGAAUUCCCGGUGUAGCAGUGAAAUGCGUAGAUAUCGGGAGGAACACCAGUGGCGAAGGCGGCCUUCUGGACCGUACUGACGCUCAGUGCACGAAAGCGUGGGGAGCAAACAGG
RNAcentral lists this ribosomal RNA (253 nucleotides) under uncultured bacterium. RNAcentral describes it as "partial 16S ribosomal RNA". It matches the Rfam family "Bacterial small subunit ribosomal RNA", at positions 524 to 776 of the family's 1533-position model. The record is from RNAcentral.